RNAcentral lists this small nuclear RNA (314 nucleotides) under Mus spicilegus (steppe mouse). RNAcentral describes it as "7SK RNA (ENSMSIG00000022460.1)". It matches the Rfam family "7SK RNA". From Rfam's summary of the family: 7SK was discovered as an abundant small nuclear RNA in the mid-70s but a possible function has only recently been suggested. Two independent studies have found that 7SK RNA binds the CDK9/cyclin T complex (known as elongation factor P-TEFb). P-TEFb activates transcription by phosphorylating the C-terminal domain of RNA polymerase II. Lineage: Eukaryota; Metazoa; Chordata; Mammalia; Rodentia; Muridae. The record is from Rfam by way of RNAcentral.
GGAAGUGAGGACAGUGUGUCAGUGACACUUGGUAGCACACUGACUGCUCAGGCUGAUUGAUUUGGCUGAUGUGAUAGGCAAGGAGUGUGUCCACUUGUUACCUGGUGCUCCAGGCUCUCUCUGCACAGCUGUGCACGUGGUGGGAGGAGAUGGCCUUCUUGCAGAGAAGAGGACCUGCUCCUCAGGGUAGGCAAAGUAGCUUUGCUCUCUGAGAGAACCUCACACAAGCCUUCAAGAGAAUACAUGCAAAGGAAGCCUGGACAAUCAGCUGUAUCCUGUAACCGCUGCUUAUCUGGAAUUUCCAUGGUUUUAGU